This 275-nucleotide ribosomal RNA is filed under the name uncultured archaeon. RNAcentral's name for it is "partial 16S ribosomal RNA". It matches the Rfam family "Archaeal small subunit ribosomal RNA", at positions 320 to 597 of the family's 1478-position model. The record is from RNAcentral.
GCCCUACGGGGCGCAGCAGGCGCGAAACCUCUGCAAUGCGGGAAACCGUGACAGGGGGAUCCCAAGUGCUCAUGCAUUGCAUGGGCUGUUCUUUGGUCUAAGUAACCAGAGGAGUAAGGGCUGGGCAAGACCGGUGCCAGCCGCCGCGGUAAUACCGGCAGCUCAAGUGGUAGCCGCGAUUAUUGGGCCUAAAACGUUCGUAGCCGGAUAAGUAAGUCUUUGGUUAAAUCCUGCGACUCAACCGUGGGAAUUCUAGAGAUACUGCUCGUCUGAGA